GAUGAACGCUAGCUACAGGCUUACCACAUGCAAGUCGAGGGGAAACGGGAGGAUAGCUUGCUAUCCUCGCCGUCAACCGGCGCACGGGUGAGUAACGCGUAUCCAACCUGCCAUCCAGCGAAGGAUAGCCUUUCAAAAGAAAGGAUAAUACUCCAUGACCUCCUCAAAGGACAUCUGACAAGGAGCAAAAAUUCAUCGCUGGGUGAUGGGGAUGCGUCUGAUUAGGCAGUUGGCGGGGUAACGGCCCACCAAACCGACAAUCAGUAGGGGUUCUGAGAGGAAGGUCCCCCACAUUGAAACUGAAACACGGUCCAAACUCCUACGGGAGGCAGCAGUGAGGAAUAUUGGUCAAUGGACGGAAGUCUGAACCACCCAAGUAGCGUGCAGGAUGACGGCCCUAUGGGUUGUAAACUGCUUUUAUGCGGGGGUAAAGUGAGUGACGUGUCAUUCAUUGCAAGUACCGCAAGAAUAAGGACCGGCUAAUUCCGUG
This 490-nucleotide ribosomal RNA is filed under the name uncultured bacterium. RNAcentral describes it as "bacterial SSU rRNA". It matches the Rfam family "Bacterial small subunit ribosomal RNA", at positions 28 to 507 of the family's 1533-position model. The record is from RNAcentral.